This 331-nucleotide small RNA is filed under the name Arabidopsis thaliana (thale cress). Its description in RNAcentral is "ATSL276120". Lineage: Eukaryota; Viridiplantae; Streptophyta; Magnoliopsida; Brassicales; Brassicaceae. The record is from RNAcentral.
GUAAUGAUAAUAGGUUUUUUAGUCAAUUAUCCUAAAACACCAAUCAUAUCGUUGUAGUAUUUUAGGUUGUCAAUCCAAAUGGGUGUGAUGCUAACAAUCAAGAUGUGAUCAGAAGUCACUAAGUCAAGCCAAGCAAUAACAGGUUUUGGUGUGUUCUACUAGUCCUAAGUGAACAUGCAGAAAACAGAAAAUCAAACAGAAACAGUAAAACACUCGACUAACACAGCUAUUUGCAGAAAUUAAGCGACAGAUAACAGGAUGCAGUAAACGACAGUAGAGUAAACAAAGAAGUCAAUCAGAUAAGGAAUUCCCGAGGAUGGGGUAAUUGAGU